RNAcentral lists this long non-coding RNA (4426 nucleotides) under Sus scrofa (pig). RNAcentral describes it as "lncRNA (ENSSSCG00000057272.1)". Lineage: Eukaryota; Metazoa; Chordata; Mammalia; Artiodactyla; Suidae. The record is from RNAcentral.
CCCAAAUUUCUGCAACUAAUGUUUAACUGUUUACCAAUAAUUAUUGUAUUUGCAGAUUCUCUGAUCUAGUACUUCAAUAUAUUUAUGUUAUCUUAGAAAAACAAUUCAACAACCUUGUGAGUAUAAUUGAAGAAGGAGUCUUAACAAAUUCUGUUACUAUCCUUUGGAAAUUAUGGAGUCAGAGAAAUACAGGCUUGUUAUAUCACAGAGGCUCAUUAGAUGGAAGUUAGGUUCACUGUUAAAUAUUUGAGAACCAGAAAUUGACUGACACUGAUGAGAAUCUGCUAACUGAUGCUGAUCGUGGUCAUUGCACUGCUUUACACAUGCUUUGCUCUUUUUUUUUUUUUUUUUAAUCGCUGCACCCAUGGCAUAUGGAAGUUCCCACGCUAGGGGUCAAAUCAGAGCUGUUGCUGCCGGCCUACACCACAGCCACAGCAAUGGUGGGAUCCGAGCCUCCUCUGCGAUCUACACCACAGCUAAUGGCAAUGCCGAAUUCUUAACCCACUGAGCAAGGCCAGAGAGCAUACCUGAGUCCUCGUGAACACUGGUUGGGUUCAUUACCACUGAGCCACAACAGGAACUCCCAUGUUGCUUUUCUUAGCUGCCACAUAGUAAAUAUUCUCAGGAAACCCACUAUGCUUCUCAAAAUAACCAUCUCAGGACUAUAUCAGAGAUGUGUGACUCUUGUUUUCACAUAGGGUUUCUAGUCAAAACAUACGGGAACACAAAUAGAAACCUAAUCUAAGUUACCUGAGAUCUCAAAACCCCAUCAUUAAUACUAACAACAUUGUGAUGUAUACUUCCUAUCUCAUUUUCCUACACAAAUGUUAAUUUUUAUAUGAAUUAAACUAAAAGAAAAAAGAUACUACCAUAGAUUCCACGUCUUCAUAAUGGACAAAUCACUGGUAUAUGAAAUGCUAUAAAACUUGCUAGAACCAAUGCAAUUUUAGACUUUUCAUACAGACUGUUAAAUUGCUUUCUUGAAAUUUUGAACCAGUUUACACUGCCCACAAUAGCAUAUAAGAGCACCAGUUUCCAAUGUCCAUACCAACAAUGGUUAUUACUUUUCAAGCUUUGUCAGAUUCAGUGGCAUUUUAAUAUUUUUCUUUGUCUUUAUUUAACUACCAUGGUACUUGAAUGUUUCCAUGUGUUGACUGACAUUUGAAUUUCUUUGGGGAAUAAUUAGAAUUGUUGUUUCAUGCCACUUUUUUUCCUGUUUUGCAAUUAAGGUUUUUCUUACUAGUUUAUCAGCUCACUUUCACUUCCUGCUUGCUCUCUCUCUUUCUCUCUCUCCUCUUCCCCACACCACUGUGCGUGUAUCUAUUUAUAUGUGUAUCUAUAAAUAUAUCCAUAUAUAUACAUAUAUCCAUUUUCUAAAUGUUUUUUAUGUAGAGAUGUUUUGAUUCUGUAAAUAAUUAGAUCUAUCAGCCUUUUCUUUUACAAAUUUCACCUUGAUUGUUAUGCUUAGGAGAGCUUUCCCUACCCCAAGUUUUAAUAAAAGUACACAUUACUUGUAAUUGCUUUAUGAUUUUAUUUCAAAAUUUAACCUAAUUUAUUUUGUUACAAGGUGUAAGGUAGGGAUUGAAAACUUUAGUUUUUAAAAACUAUCUACUUAUUCUAAUACCAUUGUUUUAUAAACAAUAUUUUGUCUACAAAUUUAAUCACAAUUUUAUCAUACACUUCUGAUAUAAUUGUGUCUCUUUCUAAACUUUUAUUUCAUUACAUCAAUUUGUCUUCCUCCUCUGACACUAGUACCACUCACUGGGAUUUUUAUUAGAUUGCAUUAAAAUUAUAUAUUAUUUUGGAAAAAAAUUGCAGUAACCUAGUUUAAAUUUUAUUGUAGAUACCAUAAAAUACUGACAGUUUUCUAAUAGCACAGAAUAAAGAAUUUUAUUCUCAUUUCAUUUGUAUUGAAAGCCGUAAUUCUCUGAAUAAUAAGAAACUCAGCAAUAAAAACUUAAGUCCAUCUCCAAUCAACUCUAUGGAGCUUGAAGGUAUACAUUUUGUACAUCAACCACAUCCUUAACUUCACCAUUUUCCCCAUCUUUAUCUCCAUCUCCAUUGCCUAAUUUAAUUUUUUUUUUAACUUUUAGGAUUGUGUUUACAGCUGCUCACUACCUUAUUCCUGUUUUGAAAUGAUUUGGAAGUAAAACAAUUUAAUAGAUUCUCAAAGGAAUUCAUGACCAUGAAGAUUAAAAACCACUGUUCUAGACCAUUUAAAGUAACUCAUAAGUAGCCAAAACUGAAUGCAAUUUUACAUAUUUCUUGACACCAUACUUUUUCUUCUUCUUCUUUUUUUUUUUUUUAAUGGCAGGACCCACAGCAUAUGGAAGUUCCCAAGCCAGGUAUUGAAUCUGAGCCACAGCUGUGACCCAUGCCACAGCUGCAGCAAUACUGAAUCCUUUACCCAACUGUGCUUGGCCAGGGAUUGAACCCAUGCUUCUGCAGUGACCCAACCUGCUGCAGUCGAGUUUUUAAUCCACUGCACCACAGUAGGAACCUUGACACCGUGCUAUUUUUAAAAAUCCAUAUGACCUAAAUGGAACUGGCAUUGUUUGAAGAAAUAUAUGUGAAAUUAAAAUGUUAAUGUCCAGAAGGCUGAUGCUAUAAUCAAGUACCAUCCACAAAGUCUAUAGCAUAAUGCUUAUAUUUCAGGAUAACUGCAAUAAAACAUUCAACUAUAAAAAAGGAGAAGAUAAAACAACAGAGAUUGGGAUAUGGUCUAUACAUACACCCUAACCUGGUUGACAGGACUUCAUUCAUUCAUUCUUCCAUGCAUACAUACAUAAAACUUAUUGAGCCCUAAACAUGUCAGGUACUAUAGUGGGCAUCGGAUUUAUGGCAUUGAGUAAAACAGACAAAAAGCUCUGCCUCCUUGGAGUCUACAUUUUUAUGGGAGGACACAAACAAUUAAAAAGAUAAAUAAAUAGAGUAAGUAAGUUAGAUGUUGUGAAAUACACUGGAAAAUUGGGAAGUUAAUAGGAAGUGUGUAUAGAAGGGUAGAAAUGUUAGACUUGGUGGCCUAGAAAGUCUCACUGUGAAGUGAGAUUUGAGUUAAUCCUUGAUGUCCAAAAGUCCUGACUUGGAAAUAUUCCAAACAUGGAGGGGAACAGCAAGGAGGGGGUAUGGGUAGAGGAAAGUGAGGUAGGGAGGGAGAAUAAGAGGUGAUGAGGUUAAAUAGAGUGAGGGGUACCAAAGACCAUGGUAAACCAUCUACAUCUUACAGACACACUAGAGGUUACUGAACAGAGGAGUGAUUUGAUCUGACCCAUAUGUCACCUUUUUUGAUACAUUUGAAAAUUUUAAAAAGGACAGUAAAUUAAUAUGUGCUUGGAUGAUUUAAGAUUAGUCAGAAAUAGAGUGAAUGACAUAAAUUGAUGACAGUAGAAAAGAAGAAAUGGGUAGAAGAAGCAGUUUAAAUCAGAAUGCACUAGCACAAGGUGAUGUGGAUGAAGAAGGGGAUAAAUCAAGGGCAGCACCAAGGUCCUUGUGAAUUUGGGAGGAGGAGCCAACUCAGCAAGGGAGCUUUCAGGAAUGAUGGAUUUAAAGUACCAGAGGAGGAGUUCCCAUCGUGGCACAGUGGUUAACCAAUCUGACUAGGAACCAUGAGGUUGGGGGUUCGAUCCCUGGCCUUGCUCAGUGGGUUAAGGAUCUGGCGUUGCUGUGAGCUGUGGUGUAGGAUGCAGAUGCGGCUCAGAUCCCGUGUUGCUGUGGUUGUGGCAUAGGCCAGUGGCUACAGCUCUGAUUCGACCCCUAGCCUGGGAACCUCCAUGUGCCACGGGAAGCAGCCCUAGAAAAAGGCAAAAAGACAAAAAUAAAAUAAAGUACCCGAGGAAAACUGAAGUUGAAUGAAAGGGAGGAAAGUACCAGACAUAUAAACUGGGAAGUUAUUAAGGGGAAAUAGACUGAAACAAUGAGAAUGGAUGAACCAUUCCAUGAAUAGAAUUGUAAGUACGUGAAUAAAAAAUCAAAUUCUCCACUUGCUUUUUAAAAAAAAAUCAUGUGUAUACAUUUACAAGAUGAAAAUGAACACUGGAGUUCCUGCUGUGACACAGUGGGUUAAGAAUCUGACUGUGGCAGCUUGGGUCUCUGUGGAAGUGGAGUACGUGAAUAAAAAAUCAAAUUCUCCACUUGCUUUUAAAAAAAAAAAUCAUGUGUAUACAUUUACAAGAUGAAAAUGAACACUGGAGUUCCUGCUGUGACACAGUGGGUUAAGAAUCUGACUGUGGAAGCUUGGGUCUAUGUGGAAGUGGAGGUUUGAUCCGCAUCCCAGCUGUGGUAUAGAUCACAGCUGCAAGUUCGAUUCAGUCCCUGGCUGGGGAACUUCCAUAUGUCACAGGCACAGCCAUUAAAAGAAAGAGAAAGAAAGAAAAGAAGGAAGGGAGGGAGGGAGGAAGGAAGGAAGGAAGGAAGGAAGGAAGGAAGG